This is a long non-coding RNA of Gadus chalcogrammus (walleye pollock), 307 nucleotides long. RefSeq lists it as uncharacterized. Lineage: Eukaryota; Metazoa; Chordata; Actinopteri; Gadiformes; Gadidae. The transcript is spliced from 3 exons. The record is from RefSeq and is a predicted model, not a curated record.
CUCCAUCCAAUCCGACUACCUUAUUCCAGUAGUACACUUUGCAUACAAGGAUCAUCAUGAGAAUCUCAUUAGGCGACUUAUUAGACAAAAGGCUGAAGGCGAGUCCAUAGAGCUGUGUGGAGAUGCCAGGUCUGACUCACCAGGCUACAGCUGCAAGUAUUCCACCUAUUCGUUUCAGCUUCUAUCCAGUAAUGAGAUCAUUCACUUUCAACUACUACAGGUAACGGAAGCUAGCAGUUCAGUUGCCAUGGAGUCCCAAGGCUGUAGGAGGGGCCUCAACCAUCUCAUUUUCAAUGAAGGAGUAGAU